AGGACGACGCUGGCGGCGUGCUUCAUACAUGCAAGUCGAACGAGAAUCUGGUGCUUGCACCAGAGGAAAGUGGCGGACGGGUGAGUAAUAUGUAGAGAAUCUGCCCUUUAGCGGGGGACAACAGUUGGAAACGACUGCUAAUACCCCAUAUGAGCGUAGCUGAGAUGCUAUUCUUGAAAACUCCGGUGCUAAAGGAUGAGUCUGCAUCUGAUUAGCUAGUUGGCGGUGUAAUGGACCACCAAGGCGACGAUCAGUAGCUGGUUUGAGAGGAUGAUCAGCCACAAUGGGACUGAGACACGGCCCAUACUCCUACGGGAGGCAGCAGUAGGGAAUUUUGCGCAAUGGGCGAAAGCCUGACGCAGCAACGCCGCGUGACCGAUGAAGCCCUUCGGGGUGUAAAGGUCUGUCAGUGGGGACGAAACUUGACGGUACCCACAGAGGAAGCAUCGGCUAACUCCGUGCCAGCCGCCGC
Molecule: ribosomal RNA, 472 nt
Filed under: uncultured bacterium
Lineage: Bacteria
Description: bacterial SSU rRNA
Rfam family: Bacterial small subunit ribosomal RNA
Source: RNAcentral